This 492-nucleotide ribosomal RNA is filed under the name uncultured bacterium. RNAcentral describes it as "partial 16S ribosomal RNA". It matches the Rfam family "Bacterial small subunit ribosomal RNA", at positions 29 to 507 of the family's 1533-position model. The record is from RNAcentral.
AGUGAACGCUGGCGGUAGGCCUAACACAUGCAAGUCGAACGGCAGCACAGUAAGAGCUUGCUCUUACGGGUGGCGAGUGGCGGACGGGUGAGGAAUACAUCGGAAUCUACUUUUUCGUGGGGGAUAACGUAGGGAAACUUACGCUAAUACCGCAUACGACCUACGGGUGAAAGCAGGGGAUCUUCGGACCUUGCGCGAUUGAAUGAGCCGAUGUCGGAUUAGCUAGUUGGCGGGGUAAAGGCCCACCAAGGCGACGAUCCGUAGCUGGUCUGAGAGGAUGAUCAGCCACACUGGAACUGAGACACGGGCCGGACUCCUACGGGAGGCAGCAGUGGGGAAUAUUGGACAAUGGGCGCAAGCCUGAUCCAGCCAUACGGCGUGGGUGAAGAAGGCCUUCGGGUUGUAAAGCCCUUUUGUUGGGAAAGAAAAGCAGCAGGUUAAUACCCCGCUGUUCUGAGGGUACCCAAAGAAUAAGCACCGGCUAACUUCGUG